This 1078-nucleotide long non-coding RNA is filed under the name Heterocephalus glaber (naked mole-rat). RNAcentral's name for it is "lncRNA (ENSHGLG00100043493.1)". Lineage: Eukaryota; Metazoa; Chordata; Mammalia; Rodentia; Bathyergidae. The record is from RNAcentral.
CAAUAAUUCACUGAAUAGGUGCAAUGAAUAUAAGUUCUUGAAUUGUUCGCUAAUUCAAGUAAUAAAAGUUACCGAAGGGCCGGGGAUUUAGCUCAGUGGUUUCAUCGCCGGCUGCGUAAGCUCAAGGACCCAAGUUUGAUCCCCGGUACCAAAAAAAAAAAAAAAAAAAAAAAAGACACUGAAGCAGAAGAUUUCAAUUUAUGGUUAAUUUACAUAAAAUGUUGACAGAUGGAGUGAAUAUACAGUGAACCCUCAAGUUACGACCGGCCUGACAUAUGAACAACUUGGGUUAUGAACAGAAUGAUAGUUUUUAACUUGCGACCAAGUCUUGAGCCAGCUGCUUCUGUUUCCAGAUGGUGUCAGAUACAGAUGUAACCCUUAAAGAGUCUGGAAGGAACAUGGGAACAUCCUUUCCUGUGUAGGGUUAACUGAGAAAUCCUGGGCUGAUGUCUCUCUAAGGACACUGAGAUCCGCCUGUGUACAGGAGAGAGACUCUGCAGGCUGCGGAGAGGAGGCUGACCCUUCAGUGACCAACCUGAGUUACAACCAGUCUUCUCCAAUGAAUUGAGUUUGUAUGUCAAGGAUCCACUUUAAUCAUAACACACCACGGUGACAGCAAAGCCAAACUGGUUCGUGCAUGUCUGAUUCAGCAUAUUAAUUACAGCAUAAGAAAAUUGAAGCCUGGCAUGGUGGCACACUCCUGAUAUCCCAGCACUCAGGAGGCUGAGGCAGGAGGAUGGCUGUGAGAUCAAGGCCAGCCUGAGCUACAUAGUGAGUUUAAGGUCAGCCUGGACUAUAUAGUAAAACCAUGUCUCCAAGACAAACAAAUACGAGAGAGAGAAAAGGAUAUCCCUAGAGAAGCAGAUGAGAGUUAAAAAUCUUCCUUUGGUUGGUUGUUCUGCUAUUUUACUAUGGGUGCAAAUUUUGAAGAAUAUAGGCAGUAUGUCUGUGAUUGUACAGUUGCAGAGAAAUGUAUUACCACAUCGUCUAGAGAUCUGCUUUUCCAAAUCUGGUACUUACACAUGAUGGAGUACUACUCUGCCAGAAAGAAGGAUAAACUUGAGUCUUUUGUAGGGAA